This is a long non-coding RNA of Contarinia nasturtii (swede midge), 1081 nucleotides long. RefSeq lists it as uncharacterized. The transcript is spliced from 4 exons. Lineage: Eukaryota; Metazoa; Arthropoda; Insecta; Diptera; Cecidomyiidae. The record is from RefSeq and is a predicted model, not a curated record.
CUCACAUGAAGAUCAUUGUAAUAAAAAAACAUCGUGAUAUUCUGAAUUCUAUUUAAUUUAAAAUAAAAAUGAACAUGAAUGUUUGUAGACGAUUGUUUUCAACGCUGAAUAAAUUGUCUGCGCUCCCGAAAAUCCAAGCAAUAAAUCAUAGACCGGUGCUAAGCAUAAGCCUGAAUCAAAAAGCUGUCUUUUGCAGUCGUUCCAACGAUGGAGAAAAUGAUGAAUCAUCUCCACUUAUAAACACGUUAAGUAUGGUGAACACGAAUUUUUGCAGCGAUUCGAUGGAUAUGUGUGUGUAUUUAUAAGUGGAUAUCAUCAUCCGCGUAAACUUGAUGCCAAAUCGGGAUAUUCCGUCUAUUUUGGUCCGGAUCAUAAAUUGAAUUUGCAAGGAAGUGUUGAGCGACGGCAAGCAUUGCACCAUGCAAAACUAUAUGCCGCAAUGGAACAAAUUCCAAAAGAUUCGUUUAAAAAAUUGUGCAUUCAGACCGAUGAACUUGGACUGAUUACGUUUAUCGAUCAAAGCUUACGAAGCAUGAGUGAAAAUUCAUUUCGCAGUGUCCACAGCGGAUAAUUAAAUAAGGACUUACAAACAUCCAUGGAAUUAAAUAAAAUUCUUAGAUCGAGACAAGAUCUGACAUUGCAAUUAAUGGUUUGCCCGAAUGAUAUUGGUGUUAGUGGCAUGUACUAUGCAGUGAAAAUGGCAGAACAAGCUGCUGUCAUAGCUACAGCAGACACUGGAAAACAGAUAAUCGAAUGAAAAUAUAAUUUAGAGUAAAUAAAAUCAGAAUAAAAUUAAAUGAAUAAGGUUUUCAUUUGGAAAUGUACAUUUAAAUGUAUCAAUGUAUUUGGAUUAUUGGAUUAUUGGAUUAAACGGGGAGUUAUUCACUUCGAUGCUCAAGUUUCUUAACUUAUUGCAUGACGACCCGACUUGUGCUGUCACUCGAUUGCUUGGAGAAUGCUUCCCACGGUGUGGCCCACUUUAUAGCAGCCAUGUUACUAGCCUCCGUACAGGGCCAGUGACCAGGGCUUUCUUCUCAAGUCAAUUGUCGUGACAGUCACAAGUAUUCCAUUCAUUCCUAGA